CAAUUAUUCAAAAUAUGUUCUUAUAGCUUCACGUUUACGAUACGAAACACGUUUUAAUGUAAGAUUAUUUAUUUUUUGUAUAUGUAGGUUCUAGUUGAAAGUGACAGCGACAAUGAAAAAAGUGCAAACAACAUUGAAAUAUCCAGUUCACUACUAGCUCAAAUCCUGCGACAUAUCACUUGCUAGUAGCCCAGUCUAGUUUAACUUUUCCCAAUCAAGAAUCAUCUCCUGAAUCAGGCAUACUGGCAACACUGGUUCAUUUGAUAAUGUAAGUUUUUAAACUGGUAUUUUAGAUUAUAAC
This 301-nucleotide long non-coding RNA is filed under the name Paramuricea clavata. The record is from RNAcentral. Lineage: Eukaryota; Metazoa; Cnidaria; Anthozoa; Malacalcyonacea; Plexauridae.